AGUCGUAGUGGCUGAGUGGUAAGGCGUAGGUCGGCAAAACCUUCUACAGCGGUUCGAAUCCGCUCACGACAC
This 72-nucleotide transfer RNA is filed under the name Bacteroidota bacterium. RNAcentral describes it as "tRNA-Cys". It matches the Rfam family "tRNA". Rfam says of the family: Transfer RNA (tRNA) molecules are approximately 80 nucleotides in length. Their secondary structure includes four short double-helical elements and three loops (D, anti-codon, and T loops). Lineage: Bacteria; Pseudomonadati; Bacteroidota. The record is from RNAcentral.